AAAGAUCUAGAGAGAAAAAAAAAGGGAGCGCGCCUCGUCUCCACCUCUCCCCCCACACGCCGCCUCCUCAUCUCCGCCCCCCCUCUGGUCGCCUCGGCUCCUACCCGGCCGGCUCGUCGCAGCAGCGGCCCGCAGAAAGCUGCGGUGGUCGGCAGUGGAGAAGCAGCAUCGGACGACGGCGGCGGACCAGAUCGGCGAGUCACAGGAGAGGACACGAUGGCCGUCACGGGCAGAGCAGAGCGAACCCGACGCGGCGGCCGGCGCCAUCUGGAGAACUGCUGGCCGGUGGUGCGCGAUCUGGGCGAUUUGGAGGCGAGGCAACACCGUUGACCAGGACGCCGUCGAAAUUCUCAUCAUGCCGCUGGGAGAGGGGCUCGUCGAGGAUCCCCUCGACUCGACGGAUCCGCGAUGGAGGUGCUUGAGGAGGGGCUUCUUCUCCGGACUCCAUGGAGAUCGUAAAGAACUCUUGCAGGCACCCUUGUCAUUGCAAAAAUCAAGAGAAGCUAUGAAGGGGCCUACAUCGUAAUGAAGAGGGGCAGGGUGCAAAAGGAAGCGUGCCUUUUCUUGAUCUCUUAAAUAUAACCAUGGGAGCGGAAGAGUGGAUAUGGGAAAGUGGCAAACACAAGUGCUAUGAAUCUGUUGUUGCACUAAUAUCAUAUCAUCCUAAAUGCGAAAUCCAGCUAAAUGAACUAAAUUUCUCAUAUCGAAGGAGUCAAGAAGGGAAGUUACCCAAUAUUAUGUUAGGCACUUUGUCAUGGUUCGUCCUCGUAAGCUUUUAUACAUGGCCAUUGUUGACUGUUGCAAGACGCGAACCAUAUUACUGUUGCAAGAAAGAAUUCACUUAGGAUAUUAUCAUCGGGUUUGAAGGAAAGAUGUUGCAUGGCCGUCUUGUUUCAGUUAUGUCCUGGUAGUGAUUCGGAGGGCACCGGCAUUAAAGGAUCGAGGCUUCUUCUUGUGUCCGUACGAAAGAGAAGUUGUACCGAUUGCCAUUGGAAGGAGCGGGGCACAGGUACAUUAAGCUCGGAUGUAAUCUGCUUUAAACUAUUUUUAAGGGAAUGCAUUACAACAUGCAGCAAGUUCAGGCCAAGAAAACUGGAUUAUUUGGUGUAGCAAGAAUGAUAGAGUUCUAGGCCGGAGCAAACAAAUGGACAGGGAAAUAGCUGCCUUAUGAACCAAAACUGAAUACUGAAAUAAGGAUUUUUGAGAGUUCAGAUGAGAUAGUAACAGAUCUGGCUGAGUAUAUUUCACAAGUUUCAGAAAUCUCUAUUAAAGAAAGUGGAUACUUCGCUAUUGUCAUGUCUGGAGCGCCACUUGUCAGUUUUUUGGGGUUAAUGAUUUUUUUUCUAUUCUUUGCUAGCUAUUUGCCAUAUUUGUUUUUGCACGCGAAUUUAAUACAGUGUGCAUUAUUGCAUCUGAAGUAUCCUGUUUUUAAUUUUUGAAAAGGAAACUUAGUGAAGUGACGUAUAUAUCCUGCUCUGAUGAACGUGAUGUAGCAAAGAACCAUGCAGAUAGUAAAUAUAAGUUACUCCUUGAUAAGAAAGGUUAGUUUUAAAUAUGUGGUCAUUGGGAGUUAAGAAAAUGUGGCAGAUUUUUUCUUCAGAUUAUGCGCUUUGCAUGGUCAUCUAUCUGUUGCGAUGUCUGCAUUCUAAAAUCAUAUUUAGAUGAUGUGAUUACUUCAGAUAUUUGGUGCUGGUGACUGGUCGCAUUUCGUAUCUAUUGGUGGCUGAUCAUCAGAUUUUCUAAGUCUUCUCGUUGCUUACCCAAAAAAAUCGUACGAAGAGUAGUCAGAUUUAGUGUGGCAGUUCUUGUGCAACAUUCCUGUAAAUAUACUGGCAGAGUUCCUUCCAUGCCUCCCAGCUUCUGUUUCAUCUGACAAGCAUCAAGAUAUACAUUUUUGACCAUGGAGCGUCGAUCAAGAUAUCGUAACUGCUUAUGUAAAAUAGUUCCUGAAGAGAAACUUAAGCAGGCUGUAUUCACUUGGAUCGAAGAAAUAGGCGCAAAGUUGUGUUCUCUGACGAGGUAUCUUGGGGCUUUGCCAGCUGCCAGUGCUAUGAAUAUCAUCUGCUGCAUCAUUGCUAGCUUUCCUAUGUUUGGGUUGUUUCUGCCAUCAACUGGUUCUGAAUAAUUGUUUUAUGUAACACUUGCUUGGAUAUGGUUCAUACAUUCUAACUUCUGAGAAAAGCUAAUAUGUUUUUGCAUUAUGGCAACUUCUCUUUCAUAAAGGAAGGCCAAUUUAUUCAUGUUUGAUAUGCAUUCAUACAUAGAAGGCAUUGGACCCAUGAGCCUUACUGCCAUUGAUAAAUGAUACCAUGUAGUGAUAUGUUCACACAAGCUGACCAAACACAAGCUAGCAAAAAAGAGCAGAGAAGGGGCGCACACAACCUGGCACCGCGCAUAGCACCCCUCAGGAUCGGAUGUAUGGGAGGUGCGACAUGAUUUUGCAAGUACAGACAGAAAAAUGCAGUAUGUUUGAUUAUUUUAUUAUUGUACCUUUCCUUUUUCUGUUCAGGUGGAUCUAAAUAUAUUCCAGACAGAGGAAUUAUUUAGGGACUAAAGGUAAUAUGUCUGAUAAAGCAUAACUGCACUUUUUCUGCUAUCUUUUGCAGUAUAUUUUGUUACGAAGAUUGAAAACAUAAUAUUGGUAGAAAUAAUUUCCAUUUGUUUGCCAUGAACCUUGCAGUUGGCUUGCUUCUGCACUAGGGAAAUGCUUGCAUUAGAUCAUCAAAGUUAAUUACUAUUAUAUCAGUAUCUACAUGUUAAAUGUGUCUAUAGUGAUUGAACAACUCUCAUUAAUAGAUGUAGCCAUAGAACGGAAGGCAUUUUUUAAAUCUCAAUUGUAAUGAUGCCGUCUAUAGUGGCCGGGCUCCACGAGAUCCCCCCCCAACCCCCCCCCCCCCCCCCCAAAAGGUCACAAGCUGCCCGCCUAUGAAUAUUAUCAUUUUUAUUUAUUUCUAAUAUGGACACCUCUGUAUGAUUUAAGUCUUAACUAUGUACUGUUGAUUUACGGCAUGGUGAUUGAUUUCGAUUGCAUGGGAAUUCUGGGAAGAGCAGUGGAAAAGCUAUGGGGAACUUGUGUGUUACUGGCGCCAGCAGCUGAUCAAAGCGGGAACAGAGCCAGAAGGCCGUCGAGGCACCACCUUCAGGCAACCUUGGAGUCGUCGCAGACAACCUUCAAGUGUAGCAUCGAAGUUGAUACAAGACAAGGGGGAAGGCCCAAAUCAGCAGGCAGAUGUGCCGGCUGCUGCGACUGGCAGUGCUCUGGGCGCGCAAGGGUAGCGCGGUACUCCUGGUCAAGACACUGCAGCACAACCGUGGGCCGCGGCCGCAGGCGCAACGAUUGGCUGCACUAUGGCGGACAGGGAUUCUCAACCGACGAGACGCCGGCGAGCGUUGGCUUCGUGGGGCUGGCGGAGAGUGAUGGGGAUGCCGGAGUGGACGUGAAGACGGACAUUGGUUGUUUAUUUACUGAUGAAUUUGGUUCACUUUUGGAUAAGCCAUGCAUCAGCUAUACAUGUAUGUGUGCUAUAAAUCAGCACUAAAACCAUUGGAAAGGGCGGGAGCUUACCUGGCACCGCACAGCUGCCGUUUGAGGCGGCGCGCCAUGGGCGCGCCCCAACCGCUAGUAUUAUUCAACCAGCACCUGAACUGGCAUACAUAAGACGUCGGGGGUAUCUAAGAGCCACAAAUGGCGCCCCAAAUCAAGAUUAACAGCGGCCUUCGCGAGUUCA
Non-coding RNA from Aegilops tauschii subsp. strangulata, 3728 nucleotides. NCBI's taxonomy places the organism in Eukaryota, Viridiplantae, Streptophyta, Magnoliopsida, Poales, Poaceae. The record is from RefSeq and is a predicted model, not a curated record.